RNAcentral lists this ribosomal RNA (467 nucleotides) under uncultured bacterium. Its description in RNAcentral is "partial 16S ribosomal RNA". It matches the Rfam family "Bacterial small subunit ribosomal RNA", at positions 28 to 507 of the family's 1533-position model. The record is from RNAcentral.
GACGAACGCUGGCGGCGUGCUUAACACAUGCAAGUCGAACGAUGACGCCCGAGCUUGCUCGGUCUGAUUAGUGGCGAACGGGUGAGUAACACGUGAGCAACCUGCCCUUCACUCUGGGAUAACCUCGGGAAAUCGGGGCUAAUACCGGAUAUGAGCUCCUGUCGCAUGGCGGGUGUUGGAAAGUUUUUCGGUGAAGGAUGGGCUCGCGGCCUAUCAGUUUGUUGGUGAGGUAGUGGCUCACCAAGGCGAUGACGGGUAGCCGGCCUGAGAGGGCGACCGGCCACACUGGGACUGAGACACGGCCCAGACUCCUACGGGAGGCAGCAGUGGGGAAUAUUGCACAAUGGGCGAAAGCCUGAUGCAGCGACGCCGCGUGAGGGAUGACGGCCUUCGGGUUGUAAACCUCUUUCAGCAGGGAAGAAGCGAAAGUGACGGUACCUGCAGAAGAAGCGCCGGCUAACUACGUG